Molecule: transfer RNA, 77 nt
Filed under: Pseudomonadota bacterium
Lineage: Bacteria; Pseudomonadati; Pseudomonadota
Description: Proteobacteria bacterium (marine metagenome) tRNA-Arg
Rfam family: tRNA
About the family: Transfer RNA (tRNA) molecules are approximately 80 nucleotides in length. Their secondary structure includes four short double-helical elements and three loops (D, anti-codon, and T loops).
Source: RNAcentral
GCGCCCGUAGCUCAGCUGGAUAGAGCACCAGACUACGAAUCUGGGGGUCGCAAGUUCGAAUCUUGCCGGGCGCACCA